UACGUAUGGGGCAAGCGUUAUCCGGAUUUACUGGGUGUAAAGGGAGCGCAGGCGGCCUGGCAAGCCUGAUGUGAAAUACCGGGGCCCAACCCCGGGGCUGCAUUGGGAACUGCCAGGCUGGAGUGCCGGAGAGGCAGGCGGAAUUCCUAGUGUAGCGGUGAAAUGCGUAGAUAUUAGGAGGAACACCAGUGGCGAAGACGGCCUGCUGGACGGUGACUGACGCUGAGGCUCGAAAGCGUGGGGAGCAAACAGG
This 253-nucleotide ribosomal RNA is filed under the name uncultured bacterium. Its description in RNAcentral is "partial 16S ribosomal RNA". It matches the Rfam family "Bacterial small subunit ribosomal RNA", at positions 524 to 776 of the family's 1533-position model. The record is from RNAcentral.